RNAcentral lists this transfer RNA (86 nucleotides) under Cutibacterium acnes HL110PA2. RNAcentral describes it as "tRNA-Leu". It matches the Rfam family "tRNA". From Rfam's summary of the family: Transfer RNA (tRNA) molecules are approximately 80 nucleotides in length. Their secondary structure includes four short double-helical elements and three loops (D, anti-codon, and T loops). Further hydrogen bonds mediate the characteristic L-shaped molecular structure. tRNAs have two regions of fundamental functional importance: the anti-codon, which is responsible for specific mRNA codon recognition, and the 3' end, to which the tRNAs corresponding amino acid is attached (by aminoacyl-tRNA synthetases). tRNAs cope with the degeneracy of the genetic code in two manners: having more than one tRNA (with a specific anti-codon) for a particular amino acid; and 'wobble' base-pairing, i.e. permitting non-standard base-pairing at the 3rd anti-codon position. Lineage: Bacteria; Bacillati; Actinomycetota; Actinomycetes; Propionibacteriales; Propionibacteriaceae. The record is from RNAcentral.
GCGCGAGUGGCGGAAUGGCAGACGCGCUGGCUUCAGGUGCCAGUGUCCCUUGGGACGUGGAGGUUCAAUUCCUCUCUCGCGCACAA